AUUGAACGCUGGCGGCAGGCCUAACACAUGCAAGUCGAGCGAGCCGCGUACGUGUGAGUAAUGUAUGGGGAUCUGACUGAUGGAUGGCUAUAACUACGGGAAACGGUAGCUAAUCACGCAUACCACCAGAGAAAACCAUAUGGGCUUAGCUAGUAGGUGAGGUAACGGCUUACCUAGGCGACGAUCCCUCGCUGGUCUGAGCUGCUGAUCAGCCACACUGGGACUGAGACACGGCCCAGACUCCUACGGGAGGAAGCAGUGGGGAAUAUUGCACAAUGGGGGAAAGCCUGAUGCAGCCAUGCCGCGUGUAUGAAGAAGGCCUUCGGGUUGUAAAGUACUUUCAGUAGGGAGGCGUUACCGACAGAAGAAGCACCGGCUAACUCCGUGCCAGCAGCCGCGGUAAUAC
Molecule: ribosomal RNA, 406 nt
Filed under: uncultured bacterium
Lineage: Bacteria
Description: partial 16S ribosomal RNA
Rfam family: Bacterial small subunit ribosomal RNA
Source: RNAcentral